This 459-nucleotide ribosomal RNA is filed under the name uncultured bacterium. RNAcentral's name for it is "partial 16S ribosomal RNA". It matches the Rfam family "Bacterial small subunit ribosomal RNA", at positions 338 to 795 of the family's 1533-position model. The record is from RNAcentral.
CCUACGGGGGGCAGCAGUGAGGAAUAUUGGUCAAUGGACGAGAGUCUGAACCAGCCAAGUAGCGUGAAGGAUGACUGCCCUAUGGGUUGUAAACUUCUUUUGUCAGGGGACAAAAUCAGGCACGAGUGCCUGCCCGAGGGUACUUGAAGAAAAAGGCUCGGCUAACUCCGUGCCCGCCGCCGCGGUAAUACGGAGGAUGCGGGCGUUAUCCGGAUUUAUUGGGUUUAAAGGGUGCGUAGGCGGGCUGUUAAGUCAGCGGUAAAAGCGCGGGGCUCAACCCCGGCGAGCCGUUGAAACUGGCGGUCGUGAGAUGGCGAGAGGUAUGCGGAAGGCGGAGUGUAGCGGUGAAAUGCUUAGAUAUGGCGCAGAACUCCGAUUGCGAAGGCAGCAUACCGGCGGCGAACUGACGCUGAGGCACGAAAGCGUGGGUAUCGAACAGGAUUAGAUACCCUUGUAGUC